RNAcentral lists this ribosomal RNA (608 nucleotides) under uncultured bacterium. RNAcentral's name for it is "bacterial SSU rRNA". The stretch from base 1 to 518 matches the Rfam family "Bacterial small subunit ribosomal RNA", at positions 338 to 873 of the family's 1533-position model. The record is from RNAcentral.
CCUACGGGAGGCAGCAGUGGGGAAUAUUGGACAAUGGGCGCAAGCCUGAUCCAGCAAUGCCGCGUGAGUGAUGAAGGCCUUAGGGUCGUAAAGCUCUUUUACCAGGGAUGAUAAUGACAGUACCUGGAGAAUAAGCUCCGGCUAACUCCGUGCCAGCAGCCGCGGUAAUACGGAGGGAGCUAGCGUUGUUCGGAAUUACUGGGCGUAAAGCGUACGUAGGCGGUUAUUCAAGUCAGAGGUGAAAGCCCGGGGCUCAACCCCGGAACGGCCUUUGAAACUAGGUAGCUAGAAUCUUGGAGAGGUCAGUGGAAUUCCGAGUGUAGAGGUGAAAUUCGUAGAUAUUCGGAAGAACACCAGUGGCGAAGGCGACUGACUGGACAAGUAUUGACGCUGAGGUACGAAAGCGUGGGGAGCAAACAGGAUUAGAUACCCUGGUAGUCCACGCCGUAAACGAUGAUAACUAGCUGUUCGGGCACUUGGUGCUUGAGUGGCGCAGCUACGCAUUAAGUUAUUCCGUCCGUCGGGUAGGUACGGUCGCGAGAUUAAACUUAAAACGGUAAAGUUAGUACGGCGUGAGACGUGCCGACGGACGACGACGAGGGAGUAGG